AUUGGUGUCGUAGGCUACACGGGGUGAAGAAAAGGGAUAAGAAAAUGAAGUCAGCGCAAGAGAUUUCAUUGCCUAUUCCUUGAACUUUUUCAUGUUUUAGUUGCAGCUUAUUGGUGCAUUAUUGGCUGUAGGUUGGAGCUGGGACUAUGAAUCCUCUGACAUUUCUAAGAAGAGAAGAAGUUCGUGACUUCAAUGACUUCAAUGACUGUGCUUAGUUUGUAAUUUGUAAUUCAAUAAGUUUCUAAAUUUAUGAUUGUAUUUAGUGAAAAAUUUGUAGGCCUUUUUUUAUUAUGAUAAUGUGAAAAAUUAUGGUCAAUUAUAGGCAUGAA
Molecule: non-coding RNA, 329 nt
Organism: Coffea arabica (coffee)
Lineage: Eukaryota; Viridiplantae; Streptophyta; Magnoliopsida; Gentianales; Rubiaceae
Source: RefSeq, a predicted model, not a curated record